UACGUAGGGUGCGAUCGUUGUCCGGAAUUAUUGGGCGUAAAGAGCUUGUAGGCGGUUUGUCGCGUCUGCUGUGAAAAUCCGGGGCUCAACCCCGGACUUGCAGUGGGUACGGGCAGACUAGAGUGUGGUAGGGGAGACUGGAAUUCCUGGUGUAGCGGUGAAGUGCGCAGAUAUCAGGAGGAACACCGAUGGCGAAGGCAGGUCUCUGGGCCACUACUGACGCUGAGAAGCGAAAGCAUGGGGAGCGAACAGGAUUAGAUA
Molecule: ribosomal RNA, 261 nt
Filed under: uncultured prokaryote
Description: partial 16S ribosomal RNA
Rfam family: Bacterial small subunit ribosomal RNA
Source: RNAcentral